This 468-nucleotide ribosomal RNA is filed under the name uncultured bacterium. RNAcentral's name for it is "partial 16S ribosomal RNA". It matches the Rfam family "Bacterial small subunit ribosomal RNA", at positions 28 to 507 of the family's 1533-position model. The record is from RNAcentral.
GACGAACGCUGGCGGCGUGCUUAACACAUGCAAGUCGAACGGAAAGGCCCUGCUUUUGUGGGGUGCUCGAGUGGCGAACGGGUGAGUAACACGUGAGUAACCUGCCCUUGACUUUGGGAUAACUUCAGGAAACUAGGGCUAAUACCGGAUAGGAGCUCCUGCUGCAUGGUGGGGGUUGGAAAGUUUCGGCGGUUGGGGAUGGACUCGCGGCUUAUCAGCUUGUUGGUGGGGUAGUGGCUUACCAAGGCUUUGACGGGUAGCCGGCCUGAGAGGGUAACCGGCCACAUUGGGACUGAGAUACGGCCCAGACUCCUACGGGAGGCAGCAGUGGGGAAUAUUGCACAAUGGGCGGAAGCCUGAUGCAGCAACGCCGCGUGCGGGAUGACGGCCUUCGGGUUGUAAACCGCUUUCGCCUGUGACGAAGCGUGAGUGACGGUAAUGGGUAAAGAAGCACCGGCUAACUACGUG